CGGAAAGGAAGCGCUGGGGGUAGGAGCAGCUGGGGAAGGCCGCAUAUUUCCUGUUGAUGAAAACUGUUUCUGAUCUGGAUUCCCCAGUUUCUUUGGGAGAGCAGAAUGCUUCCAGACUCAGAACUCCCUCUGGACACCUAAAUGGUGCCUGCCUCCCUCUGUCCGCUGGUGGUGCAGAAGAAGCUCAUUGUCCUUCUGCAGAGGAAGCAGAGCCUGCUGCCGCCCUGGACGACAGAGAUGAGCCUACUUCUCGUUCCUGCAUCUGUAAAACAACCAGUAUCCUCCACGACCUCUCCAGGGAGGCUGGAGAAGGAGCUGACAAUAGGAAAGAGGUGGUGGCAGCAGGGUGUGGAUGCCACAUCCCUGCCUGUGGAAUGAAGCCCCUUGGGCAGAAUACCCAGACAUGACAGUGCCACAUUCCUUUUUCUCUGGUAACUUCCUACAUCCCAUCAAGCACAGCUCAAGCUGUUCCAGCCGCAGCCUGACUUUAUUGCCAAGGACGGAAGAAACGCACUCUCACUGGAGGAUUUGUAUAGAAGUCCGUUUCCCUAAGUCACUCGCCACUCCCAGGAUCCCAUCCCUCUGACGAACCAUGGCUGGCUUCUGCCCUCCAGCCAGGCAGUCAAGAAGCAUUCACUAAGCGUUUAUGAGGCCAGGCAUUAUGCCAAGAUCUGGGGACGUGGAGGGGGCAAAAACAUGGCUCCUGUCCUCAUGAUGCUUACAUUUUAAUGGAAGAGACAGAGACACACAAGCACCUAUAAGCAUAUAAAAUAGAGAGAUGCAUAGAGAUAGUGAUAGAUAGAGACAGGGAUAGAUACAUAGAGAUAGAUAGUGAUAGAGAGAUAGUGAUAGUGAUAGAGACAGAGAUAGAUACAUAAAUAGUGAUAGAGUGAUAGAGAUAGAGACAGAGAUAGAUACAUAGAGAUAGAUAGUGACAGAGAGAUAGUGAUAGAGAUAGAGACAGGGAUAGAUACAUAGAUAUAGAUAGUGACAGAGAGAUAGUGAUAGUGAUAGAGACAGAGAUAGAUACAUAAAUAGUGAUAGAGUGAUAGAGAUAGAGACAGAGAUAGAUACAUAGAGAUAGAUAGUGAUAGAGAUAGAGACAUAGUGAUAGAGAUAGAUAGAGACAGGGAUAGAUACAUAGAGAUAGUGAUAGAGAGAUAGUGACAGUGAUAGAGACAGAGAUAGAUAUAUAAAUAGUGAUAGAGUGAUAGAGAUAGAGACAGAGAUAGAUACAUAGAGAUAGAGAGAUAGUGAUAGAGAUAGAUAAAUCAAGAUAGGGAGAUGGAGAGAGAGAGAAAGAUAGAUAGAUAGAGGAAUGUAUUUGGAAGGAAGGCAUUAGCCAUGGAGGGUUGGGAAGGAACUGCUAGACCUACCCAAGAACCAGGAAUCUUCUGUCACCUUAUC
This 1407-nucleotide long non-coding RNA is filed under the name Phascolarctos cinereus (koala). RNAcentral describes it as "lncRNA (ENSPCIG00000032033.1)". Lineage: Eukaryota; Metazoa; Chordata; Mammalia; Diprotodontia; Phascolarctidae. The record is from RNAcentral.